Lolium rigidum is the source of this 175-nucleotide long non-coding RNA. RefSeq lists it as uncharacterized. The record is from RefSeq and is a predicted model, not a curated record. NCBI's taxonomy places the organism in Eukaryota, Viridiplantae, Streptophyta, Magnoliopsida, Poales, Poaceae. The transcript has 3 exons.
CCAUCGCGCCCGCAGCCCCACCUCGUCCCGCGAGUUCUCCGGCCGGCACCCUCGAAGGCUGGCUAUGCUUCGAGGUGGACACCGGGGCCGGCGUCGUAGAGCUGGUUGAAGGAGUGUCCCAGAUCUUCUUCGACGAUUCGCUCACGUUUCUAGGGACGUGCAUGAAGGAAGGAGC